This 346-nucleotide unclassified non-coding RNA is filed under the name Hevea brasiliensis (rubber tree). The record is from RNAcentral. Lineage: Eukaryota; Viridiplantae; Streptophyta; Magnoliopsida; Malpighiales; Euphorbiaceae.
GAUCACAAGCCCCUGGUUCAACCUGGAAAAUAUGAGCAAAUGAAGGCUUAUGAAUGGAUACAGAAUUUACUCAUAGUCCAGAGAACUGGGGACAAAGCAUAAUAAACUUAACGCAAAAGAUUCAUAUCAAAUCACUUGAAUGCAACCAACCAACCAAGACAAAUAAAAUGAUGGGACUACUGAGCAAUAAUUGAUAUUUUUAUUUAGAUAUGUAUCGGGAGUUUGUUGCUUUCAUGAGGCAAAACAUAAUAUGAAAAUAGAAAGCUAAAAUAAAUAAAGAGUUGAGAUCUAUAAUUCUUUUUCCCUCUUCCCUUCUCUUUUGGUGAGUGAAGCUCCUCAAAUAAGA